RNAcentral lists this ribosomal RNA (750 nucleotides) under uncultured Alphaproteobacteria bacterium. RNAcentral describes it as "bacterial SSU rRNA". It matches the Rfam family "Bacterial small subunit ribosomal RNA", at positions 145 to 931 of the family's 1533-position model. Lineage: Bacteria; Pseudomonadati; Pseudomonadota; Alphaproteobacteria. The record is from RNAcentral.
AACACGAGGAAACUUGUGCUAAUACCGGAUAAGUCUUUACGGAGAAAGCUUUAUGCACCAUUGGAUGAGCCUGCACUUGAUUAGUUUGUUGGUGGGGUAAUGGCCUACCAAGACUUUGAUCAAUAGCUGAUUUGAGAGGAUGAUCAGCCACAUUGGGACUGAGACACGGCCCAAACUCCUACGGGAGGCAGCAGUGGGGAAUCUUGCACAAUGGAGGAAACUCUGAUGCAGCGAUGCCGCGUGAGUGAAGAAGGCCUUUGGGUUGUAAAGCUCUUUCGUCGGGGAAGAAAAUGACUGUACCCGAAUAAGAAGGUCCGGCUAACUUCGUGCCAGCAGCCGCGGUAAUACGAAGGGACCUAGCGUAGUUCGGAAUUACUGGGCUUAAAGAGUUCGUAGGUGGUUGAAAAAGUUGGUGGUGAAAUCCCAGAGCUUAACUCUGGAACUGCCAUCAAAACUUUUCAGCUAGAGUUUGAUAGAGGAAAGCAGAAUUUCUAGUGUAGAGGUGAAAUUCGUAGAUAUUAGAAAGAAUACCAAUUGCGAAGGCAGCUUUCUGGAUCAUUACUGACACUGAGGAACGAAAGCAUGGGUAGCGAAGAGGAUUAGAUACCCUCGUAGUCCAUGCCGUAAACGAUGUGUGUUAGACGUUGGAAAUUUAUUUUCAGUGUCGCAGUGAAAGCGAUAAACACACCGCCUGGGGAGUACGACCGCAAGGUUAAAACUCAAAUGAAUUGACGGGGACCCGCACAAGUA